RNAcentral lists this long non-coding RNA (6770 nucleotides) under Homo sapiens (human). RNAcentral's name for it is "HSALNT0183337". The record is from RNAcentral. Lineage: Eukaryota; Metazoa; Chordata; Mammalia; Primates; Hominidae.
CUUCUGUAGGGUUGCUGUGGGUUUACUUUCGGGCCCUAUUCAUCUGAUUGCUCCCAUGCCUGAGAUGUCACUCAAGGAGGCUGGAGAACAGCAAAGAUGGGUGCCUGCUCCUUCCUCUGGGAUCUCUGACCUCAAGGGGCACCAACCUGAUGCCAGUAGGAACACUCCUGUAUAGGGUGUUGACACUCCUGUUGGGGGGUCUCACCCAGUUGGGUGGCAUGGGGAGCAGGACCCAUUUAAUGAAGCACUUUGACUGUGCCUUGGUGGAGGGGGGGUGUCCCACACUGGGGGAAAACCCACUCAUCUGGGUUGCCUAUAUUCAUCAGAACUAACAGGAAGGAUCACUAAGUUGGCUGGUCUGUGGAGACUAUGGCCACCCUAUCCCCUAGGGGCUCAGGCCCAGGGAGAUCAGAGUUUUGUCCCUGAGUCCCUGGCUGGAGUUGGAGUUCCUGCAGGGAGGCCCUGCCCAGUGAGGAGGGCUGGGUCAGGGUCAGGCCUGAAGACACACUCUGGCCUCAGUCUGCCACAGCUGGUGUGUUGGGCUGUGGGGAAUACCUCUUGGGACCAAGCCAUCCAGUCUCCCUGGCUCCAGCAGGGAAAAGCCCGGCUGGGAGCUGUAGAGAUGGCUGCCACCCUUUCUCCCGCCCUGGGAGCUUAGUGUAUUAGGCAGCUAGCGGUCCCAGUGUUGGCUGCUGCCCCUCCCCAAGGAGCUCAGAUGGCUUAGACAGCAGGCAGCUGCCCCUCCCCACUGGGGAACUCAGCAGGCUUAAGCAGAUUCUAGCUGAGUGGAUGUUGAGAAUCUGUGUGGCUCCAUGGUUAGGACCCUAGGCCCCAGAGGUGUGGACUGACGAGUGAGAUCUUCCGAUUUGUGGGUUGCACAGUUCCAUUGGAAAAGCACAGUUUCCCAGGCUGCGUAGCACACUGACUCAAGGGCUCCCCAGCCCCAUGUGCUUCUUAGGUGGCCCGCUGUACCACACCGCUCUUCCUUCCUCUCUGUGGGUCACACCAGCUGCCUAGUCAGUCGUGAUGAGAGAACCCGGAUGCCUUGGUUACCAGUGCUGGAUGCAUAUGCUGCUUUGGUUCUUCUUGAUGGCAGCCUUCAGUCACGGCUGCUUCUAGUUGGCCAUCUUGGCCCCACUCCAAAAAUCCGUUCAAUUCUUAGUUUUAUUACAAUCAAAUUUAUAUAUCUUUUAUUUUGUAACUAGUAACUUUUGUGUCUCGAUGAAGAAUUUGGUCCCUUUCCCAGGUCAUAAAGAUAUUUGCUUAUAUGUAUAUCUUCUGAACGUUUUAAAUUUUGCUGUGGCAUUUGGAUUCUUAAUCCAUUUGGAAUUGAUUUUUGACAGUAUGAGAUAGGGAUCCAUUUUCAGUUAUUUCCAUGUAUAAUAAAAAACCACCUUUUCCAGUGAAGGCAGGAUUUAAAUCUGGAUCUGUCCAACUUGAAAGCCCGUGCUCUUAAUCACUAUGCUAUUCCAGGGAAACAAUGGCAUGGACUGUUCAAUAAACAAGUGCAAGGCACCUGGGAGCACAGAAGAAUAAGGCACGGCUGCUACCUCCACUGUUGCUCCUUAGCAGAAACCAAGGGCUAUGUUGGAGCUCUCUUCAGAGACUUCUUUUCCUUCUAAGGUUUUUUUGUUUUUUUUAAAUUGAGAUGGAGUCUCACUCUGUCUCCUGGGCUGGAGUGCAGCAGCGUGAUCUCAGCUCACUGUAACCUCCACCUCCUGGGUUCAAGUGAUUCUCGUGCCUCAGCCUCCCGAGUAGCUGGGAUUACAGGUGUGCACCACCACACUCAGCUAAUCUUUUGUAUAUUUUGUAGAGAUGAGGUUUCACCGUGUUGGCCAGGCUGGUCCCGAACUCCUGAGCUCAAGUGAUCCGCCUGCCUUGGCCUCCCAAAGUGCUGGAAUUAUAGGUGUGAGCCACUGUGCCCAGCCCGCUGGAAUUAUAGGUGUGAGCCACUGUGCCCAGCCCCCUUCUAAGUUUUAUGAUAACAUAUUUCAGCUCAUCUUUUGGCAUCAGCAGAUCCACUGAGGGGUUCCUAUGGUAAACUCUGGGCCUCACUACUUUAUUUCUUGAAGGUUAAUGUGACGGUGUGAAAAAGAACAUAGAGCCAGACAGAGCUGGUCCUAAGGCUCAGUUCUUUCACAUAGCAGCCUUGGGGAAUUAAACAUUUUCUGAACCUCAGUUUCUUCAUCGAUAAGAUGGGAAUAAUAAAGCUUAUCUCACAGGGUAGUUGAGAGGAUUACAUAAAAGGUGACACAGAGGAGGUAGUCAACAAAUGUGUUACCCUUUUUUCUGUCCUAACACUGCUCCUCACCUGCAAGUUAACAAAUGACACCAUUUCUUCCAUUGUCUCCCAUUGAUUUAUGCCUACCCUUCCAUUUUUUGUCUCCAGCUAGCUUAGGCUUCCUUACCACAACCCCUUUCUUGGUCUUCUGGACUCUAGUAGCAGAAUCUAGAAUGGUUGGCAGUGUCAAAUCAAUGCAUUGCAACAGUAACAUACCCUCGAGCCUCACUUACGGGUUGUCUCAAGCCUAUGGCUGAAGAAUAGGGAUCAGAAUGUGCAUGUACCUCACAUUUCUGUAAGUUGAUCUUGCUUCUUAAGCUUUCCUCUCUCCUUUCUACCCAGAAGAUCGCCAACAGGGCCACUGUGCUCAGCACGUUCUUCCUGUGUGCAAGGCCUCCACUGUGAGCCCUGGAAUCCUGCCAUGCCCUGUACAGCUGCAGCACUUCAAACUCAUUUUUGCUCCUCCCUGCCUUACUGACUCUUCUCUCAUCAGUUUGGUUCCCUGAAGAUCACUCUACCCACUCUCCAUUGGCACCUGUCUUACAAACAUUCAUUGCUAAUAACAAUGAUAACAUGUCAUACUUACAUGAGGCACUUUGAUAUCUAUCAUCUUGAAGAGGAAGACACUUGGCUAUUAUUGUCCCCAUCUCAUGGAUUAGCCUCAAAGAGUGACUUGUCCAAGGUGGGCAUUACACCAUAGGCAAGUGGCAGAGCUGAUAUUGUAACCCAGAACCAGGGCUUCUGGUGUCAAGGUCAUAGCUCUUUGCAUUCUUUGUUUUCAACCAUAAACGUAGACCUUGACUAAUUGAAGCAAAAGAGAAUAUAUUGGAAGGGGACUGGAUACUGAGUAGCUCAUGGAAUUGAAGAGAGACAACUGAAAAAACAAGCCUUGGGAAGCUGAAGGACCAAGAUGGCCCCAAACGUCUAAGUAACAAGAGGUCACAGACCUUACCAUUGGACACCGUCAUUGUCCCUCUGCAACCUUACUGCGAAUGAGAAUCCUCAGUAGCAAAAGGGCUUAAUUCACUCAUUCACACUUCUCAUGGGGGUUUCAGCCCACUAGGACUUCUGCCUUGUGGAACGGUGGCUCACCUACAGAGCUGACAAAACUGGCAGAUGUCGAUAACACAGCCUCCUAGGACAUUAUCUCUUCUUGUCAUCUCCCCUCUGUGAGGUUUGAGAAUCUUGUCACUUCAGCUGGCCUGGGAGCUCCUACCCCAGUUUCUUCCAGGAAUUCCAUACACAGCGCUGGUACACAGCCAAGACUUCAUAAAUGAUCUUGGAAGGCUGAGUUAGGGAAAGAGUUCCUGUUCUCAGGGUCUUAGACUUAAGACAAGCCUUUUGGCUUUGUUUGAAUUUGCUUUCUUAGUAAAAACAAAAAGAAAAACAAAAGGCCAGACAUCAAAACAGAAGAGAAAGGCCUUUCCCCACAUGCAUUCCCAGGUGCCCAGAGCUGGCUUUGAGAAGCUUGAGUGAGACAGGCACACUCCCACUCAGUCCCUAAUUAAUUGAUCACCUCCAUCUGGUCAAAAUGUUUACUGCUUCUGCCUACUCCUCAGCAGGGAGGAGUCCCUGGUUCAGCAAAGCAGCAAGUGUGAAAGGGGAAAACAACAGCCCCCAUACAGCACAUGCAGCACCACGUCUAACCCACACUAUAGAUGUGGCUCUAUCUAUAGCCUUGUCAUCAAUCAGCAGGUGAUGAGGUGUGGGAGCCGCGCUGGGUCCCGUCACUGCCUGGGGCACUUUGCAAUGUCACUGCGUGCAUUCUUCAUCCAAGCUAAAUAGAGUGCUGGGUGGGGUGCUCUUUCUUGCACUAUUUACAAGCCCCUGGGAUUUUUCCUUAUCCCAAAGGACUGUGAAGGGAACAUGUGGACCUCAGCAAUUUCUGUGGUGAAGUCAUAGGGUGCUAGGAGGGCCACCUGAGCCUGGGAGAUUAAACCCAAGGCUACUGAGCUUUAAAGAUAGGGAUGGGGUUAAGGCAGAAAAGAGGCAGGAAGAGGAAAUUUGAUUCUUCUAAAUCUUACCUCAUUUAAACAUUUGUGUGGGAAAAUUCCAAUUAUGCUUCUUGACAGAGCAGAUUUUUACAAUGUUCCAAAUGUAAAAGUUGGAAAGAGGCUACAAAUGAAAACAAGUCGGUAAUACCUAAAGCCAAAAAUAAGCCAGAAUUAAUCAGAAUUACCUAACUAUCUCAGGCUAAGUGGAGUUCAAAUGAUCUGUAAUCUAGAAUCUAGAUCAACCUUCCUCUCACUCCCACAGAAAACUCUAGAAUGUGACAUUGGGAAAAUGCUCUGUCAUUUCAGAGGCACCACCUCCUGAUUCUGUGGUCCUGGCAUGUCAGCACCUGACUGUGGUGAUCUGAGAAAUGGGGAUAGUAAGGCCUGCCCUGGCUCCCCAGAUGGCUUCUCUAGAGAUGCAAGACACAUUGAUGUGAAGCAGAGCUCUUCAGAAGUGGGGCAAUGCUGGAAGCGGACGUUGUGGGGUGUUUGGUGGCUUCUCAGAACUCAUUGGCCAUGUCCAACCCCCUUCUCUUCAUGCCCUAUUUUUACUCCUCUUUCAAAUGUCCUGCUCUUCACUUCUCACCACAUACUUCUUCUUCGAGAUUCCUUUUCCCCGGUUCUAGGUCUUGGUUAAGAUUUCCCAAAGGUAUUUUCAUGGAUCCCUAGUCCCCAAAAUGGCCCACAACUAAAGGAGGUUCUAAGAACAAAUUGGUUUGAGAAACAACAAGCACCAUGACCGCCUUUCAGAAAGUACAGCUCUCAUUAGGCUCUGAGAAGUCUUGCAGGAAGGAAGCUUGUCUACCUGUGCUCUUUAGUUAGUACUUUCAUAAUUAAUUUGACCACAGAAGCCAUUGUUCAAAUAUCGCCUAUUAAUACCUCCCCCAAAAUACAGCUUGGGAAAUGUCCUAGAUAAUGAUGAUGAUGAUGAUAUGAUGAUGAUGAUGAGGCCCAUUGAUCAAACACUUACUACAUCAGAAAUAAACACUUAAUAACAUUUAACUCUCAGGCAACCCAGUGAGAUGGGUGGCAUUACCCAUACCUAGAAAGUGAGACUGAUUGACACCCAGGUCUGGCUAUUUCUGUUUUACAAAUAAGGAAAAUGAGAUGCAAGGAAGGUAAGUAUUUUGCCCAGUCUUAUAGCUAGUGAGUAGUGGAGUUGGGCCAUGAACCCAAGUCUUGUACCCAGGUCUGUCUAACUUUAAAGGUCCCACUCCUGAUCACCGCACACAUGAGCCUGUGGCUCGUAGGCUGAGUUCACACAUGGCUUCACACUGGAGGGGCUGCUCAGGCAUGGCCACCCCUCAGGAGUUUAUAUGAUGGAGGGUGGAAUUGGAUCCAUAGGCAGCCAACCUAGUGUAUGGCCCUCAGCAACCCAUAAAAUGGGACAGUCACACCCUCUGGAAUCCAUUGCAAUGGGACAGUCACACCCUGUUGCUGGAAAAAACAGGAAACCCAGAUUCAAGAGCUGGAGUGGUUUUGACCAGUGUGGUUUAACCAGGCAGCAGCCAUGAAGCCUGAAGUGCUCCAGAAUCUGUCCUUUCAACAAAUCUACCCCACCCUCCCAGGACCAGAGCUUUGCUCCUGCAUCCACAGUGCUCAAAGCUGCUUAGGUUGCCUGGCUGCUUUUCGCUAAUUGAAACCUGUUGUGGUGCCUGUUGCUAUAAACACUUGGCCAAUUUGCAUAAGUAUGUGACAUUAUAAAAGUUCCUGAAAGAUCUUAUCCACAUGGCUGGCACAGGGCCCAAAUGAAAAGCCAGGUAGACAAUGUGUGUGUUAUUAAAAGAAAUAAUAAUCUUGUUUAUGUUCCUUGUGCAGGUGAACAGGGCAAGAAAUGGAAAGCGUAUCCAAUCCAGAGGCACCAAAAUGCUCGGGGGUCGGGGCUGAAGGUGCCAGUUUGCCCAGAGGUCCGUCCUGAGACAGAUGGAUUCAUCAACAGUGCUUGGCUUUGAGAGAAGGGCACUGGAGAAGACUCCGAGGACACCCCUGUUCCCUCAGUGUUGCAGUGAGGUGAGUGUAGCUCCGCCACCGAGCGAGAGCCAGCCUACCGGCCCCUCCCAGGCUGCAGCCGUGAUCUCUGGGUGACCAGAGCUCAUCCCAUCUUAGCCUGGGCACCUCCAAAACACAGCCUGAAACCAAAGCUUGCAUGCAAGUUGUUAGGAAUGAGAUUUCAGCGAGCAAGAGAGACAGAUGGGGAGUAAAACGGGAGAAGCGAACCCUGAUGGAAGAGUGUCUUAGGGGUUGGCGGCUGCUCAAGGUAACUGGAGUGCAUUCCUCUGUGGCCUUCAGAGGAGCCUCAUGAAAUGUCUAAAAAGAGUCCGCCGAGUCUAAAAAGAAAAAAAAAAAAGGGUCCACCAGGGGGCAAAAUGCAAAGCGUUUCUCCAUUGGCUCCUGUCUCCCAUUGGUCAAGGCUUUGACCGAUGAGCUUGAAUGCCCCGUGCUCCGGGUUGCCCACGUGUGAGUGCAGGGUAGGUAGUGUAAGUUCCAGGUGCAGG